This is a non-coding RNA of Vicugna pacos (alpaca), 635 nucleotides long. Lineage: Eukaryota; Metazoa; Chordata; Mammalia; Artiodactyla; Camelidae. The record is from RefSeq and is a predicted model, not a curated record.
CUCACGCCUAAUUAGUCUUUUGGGAUCAGGUGGUACUUGUGAAUGUGUUUUUUUGCUGAUUGCAUGCCCCACGAUCUGGGGCGGAAGUGUUCGGCGAGUGAGGCUAGGGAGGUGUCCCAAACCCACAGGCCGCUCCAGCUCGCUGGUCCAGCCUCCGCCUGAACUCCUCUUUGGUCCUCAACGUUCUGUGCGUUUCUUCCCCACACUCCUGCCAGUUUCGUCGGGGAAGCCUGAAUUUCUAGAUAUACUUCUUACUACAGGGCUGGGCUCAACAGAAGGAGAAGCAUUAAAAGGACUCAAGAAGGGUGAUUGGCUCCAGCACACCCAGAAUGAGGACAUGACGGCAGAAUCCUCCAGUAACAGCGCCUGUGGCCCCACAGGGAGCUGGAGCUGUCUUGAUCAGCCAUCUUGACUUCCUGUCAGUUUCCUUCCCUCUUAAGGGAUCAGGCAACUGUAUGCACUGCCCCUGCACUGGCUUCCGCUGAGAACUCUUUCCUAGGUAGUAGGCAAGAUCCCUCCUAAGCUUUGGGCCCUGUAACAGGUCUCUACCCAGCCUGCUAACAUCAGGACUGUCAGUGACUCGGCUGGAGACCUGUAGUUUUUUGUUACAGGGCUGGACUCAAUGGAAGGAGAAG